GGUCAAGCGAAUAAGCGCACACGGUGGAUGCCUAGGCGGUCAGAGGCGAUGAAGGACGUGGUAGCCUGCGAAAAGUGUCGGGGAGCUGGCAACAAGCUUUGAUCCGGCAAUGUCCGAAUGGGGAAACCCACUGCUUCGGCAGUAUCCUGCAGUGAAUUCAUAGCUGCUGGAAGCGAACCCGGUGAACUGAAAUAUCUAAGUAACCGGAGGAAAAGAAAUCAACCGAGAUUCCCUAAGUAGUGACGAGCGAACGGGGAACAGCCCUUAAGCUGGAAUGGCUUUAGAAAAACAAUCUGGAAAGAUUGGCCAUAGAAGGUGAUAGCCCUGUAUUUAAAAGGGCCACUCCAGUGAAGACGAGUAGGGCGGGGCACGUGAAACCCUGUCUGAAUAUGGGGGGACCAUCCUCCAAGGCUAAAUACUCCUGACCGACCGAUAGUGAACCAGUACCGUGAGGGAAAGGCGAAAAGAACCCCGGAGAGGGGAGUGAAAUAGAUCCUGAAACCGUGUGCGUACAAGCAGUAGGAGCUCGCAAGAGUGACUGCGUACCUUUUGUAUAAUGGGUCAGCGACUUACUGUUCGUGGCAAGCUUAACCGUAUAGGGGAGGCGAAGGGAAACCGAGUCUGAUAAGGGCGCAUAGUCGCGGGCAGUAGACCCGAAACCGGGUGAUCUAGUCAUGGCCAGGGUGAAGGUGCCGUAACAGGUACUGGAGGCCCGAACCCACGUCUGUUGCAAAAGACGGGGAUGAGCUGUGAUUAGGAGUGAAAAGCUAAUCGAACCCGGAGAUAGCUGGUUCUCCUCGAAAGCUAUUUAGGUAGCGCCUCGGACGAAUACUACUGGGGGUAGAGCACUGUUAUGGCUAGGGGGUCAUCGCGACUUACCAAACCAUUGCAAACUCCGAAUACCAGUACGUACUAUCCGGGAGACACACGGCGGGUGCUAACGUCCGUCGUGAAAAGGGAAACAACCCAGACCCACAGCUAAGGUCCCAAAUUCACUGCUAAGUGGAAAACGAUGUGGAAAGGCAUAGACAGCCAGGAGGUUGGCUUAGAAGCAGCCACCCUUUAAAGAAAGCGUAAUAGCUCACUGGUCGAGUCGGUCUGCGCGGAAGAUUUAACGGGGCUAAGCAGUGAACCGAAGCUUGGGGUGCAUAAAACUUGUUUUAUGCGCGGUAGAGGAGCGUUCCGUAAGCCUGCGAAGGUGGAUUGAGAAGUCUGCUGGAGGUAUCGGAAGUGCGAAUGCUGACAUGAGUAACGAUAAUGCGGGUGAAAAGCCCGCACGCCGAAAGCCCAAGGUUUCCUUGCGCAACGUUAAUCGACGCAGGGUUAGUCGGUCCCUAAGGCGAGGGCGAAAGCCGUAGUCGAUGGGAAGCAGGUUAAUAUUCCUGCACCUCGCGUGAGUGCGAUGGAGGGACGGAGAAGGUUAGGUGUACCGGGCGUUGGUUGUCCCGGGGAAAGGCGGUAGGUUUGGAUCUUUGGCAAAUCCGGGAUCCUUUAAGACCGAGCACCGAGACGAGCCUUUAUGGCGAAGUCACUGAUACCACGCUUCCAGGAAAAGCUCCUAAGCUUCAGCUCACGAAGACCGUACCGUAAACCGACACAGGUGGGUAGGAUGAGAAUUCUCAGGCGCUUGAGAGAACUCGGGUGAAGGAACUAGGCAACAUGGCACCGUAACUUCGGGAGAAGGUGCACCCUUUUUGGUGGCUCGUGCGAGCUAUAGCUGAAGAGGGUCGCAGAAACCAGGCCGCUGCGACUGUUUAUCAAAAACACAGCACUCUGCAAACACGAAAGUGGACGUAUAGGGUGUGACGCCUGCCCGGUGCUGGAAGGUUAAUUGAUGGGGUCAGCCGCAAGGCGAAGCUCUUGAUCGAAGCCCCAGUAAACGGCGGCCGUAACUAUAACGGUCCUAAGGUAGCGAAAUUCCUUGUCGGGUAAGUUCCGACCUGCACGAAUGGCGUAACGACAGCGGCGCUGUCUCCACCCGAGACUCAGUGAAAUUGAAAUCGCUGUGAAGAUGCAGCGUUCCCGUGGCAAGACGGAAAGACCCCGUGAACCUUUACUAUAGCUUUACACUGAACGUUGAGUUCGUCUGUGUAGGAUAGGUGGGAGGCUAUGAAACUGUGGCGCUAGCUGCAGUGGAGCCAUCCUUGAAAUACCACCCUGUCGUGCUUGACGUUCUAACCUAGAUCCGUUAUCCGGAUCAGGGACCGUGUAUGGUGGGUAGUUUGACUGGGGCGGUCUCCUCCUAAAGAGUAACGGAGGAGCACGAAGGUACGCUCAGCGCGGUCGGACAUCGCGCACUGUGUGCAAAGGCAUAAGCGUGCUUGACUGCAAGAUCGACGGAUCAAGCAGGUACGAAAGUAGGUCUUAGUGAUCCGGUGGUUCUGUAUGGAAGGGCCAUCGCUCAACGGAUAAAAGGUACUCCGGGGAUAACAGGCUGAUACCGCCCAAGAGUUCAUAUCGACGGCGGUGUUUGGCACCUCGAUGUCGGCUCAUCACAUCCUGGGGCUGUAGUCGGUCCCAAGGGUAUGGCUGUUCGCCAUUUAAAGUGGUACGCGAGCUGGGUUCAGAACGUCGUGAGACAGUUCGGUCCCUAUCUGCCAUGGGCGUUGGAAGUUUGAGAGGGGCUGCUCCUAGUACGAGAGGACCGGAGUGGACGAACCUCUGGUGUUCCGGUUGUCACGCCAGUGGCAUUGCCGGGUAGCUAUGUUCGGAAGCGAUAACCGCUGAAAGCAUCUAAGCGGGAAGCGCGCCUCAAGAUGAGACUUCCCGGGGCACAAGCCCCCUAAAGGAACCAUGUAGACUACGUGGUUGAUAGGUCAGGUGUGUAAGUACAGCAAUGUAUUGAGCUAACUGAUACUAAUGAUCCGUGCGGCUUGACCAU
This 2881-nucleotide ribosomal RNA is filed under the name Xanthomonas cucurbitae. RNAcentral's name for it is "23S ribosomal RNA". It matches the Rfam family "Bacterial large subunit ribosomal RNA". The record is from RNAcentral. Lineage: Bacteria; Pseudomonadati; Pseudomonadota; Gammaproteobacteria; Lysobacterales; Lysobacteraceae. RNAcentral also lists the same sequence under 1 other name.